CAAAGGUAUGGUCCCAGCCUUUCCAUCAGCCACAGCCCAACCUAUACAUGCAAGUCUCCGCGCCCCAGUGAGUACACCCUUUAUCCCUUGCACGGGAACAAGGAGUUGGCAUCAGGCACAAGAGUUAGCCCAAGACGCCUAGUAAAACCACGCCCCCAAGGGGAUCCAGCAGUAAUAAACAUUAAGCUAUGAGUGAAAGCUCGACUCAGUUAUGGCUAUUAGAGCCGGUAAAACUCGUGCCAGCAACCGCGGUUAGACGAGAGGCUCAAGUUGAUGAUAAACGGCGUAAAGGGUGGUUAAGGAAAACUACGUAAUAAAGAUAAACAGUCCUUCGGCUGUCAUACGCCUCUAGAGACUUGAAACCCAUAACACAAAGAUACUUUAAAAUAGACAACCUGACCCCACGAGAGCUAAGAAACAAACUGGGAUUAGAUACCCCACUAUGCUUAGCCGUAAAUCCUGACAUUAAAAUACAACAAUGUCCGCCAGGGUACUACGAGUUAAACUUAAAACCCAAAGGACUUGACGGUGCCUUAGACCCACCUAGAGGAGCCUGUUCUAGAACCGAUAAUCCCCGUUAAACCUCACCAUUUCUAGCCACACCAGCCUAUAUACCACCGUCGUCAGCUUACCCUGUGAAGGAUGAAAAGUAAGCGAGAGGGGCACAGCCCAAAACGCCAGGUCGAGGUGUAGCCCACGAAAUGGAAAGAAAUGGGCUACAUUUUCUAAACCAGAAUAUUACGGACACGCAACAUGAAACAGUUUCAAGAAGGAGGAUUUAGUAGUAAAAAGGAAACAGAGAGUCCUUUUGAACCCGGCUCUGAGGCGCGUACACACCGCCCGUCACUUUCCCCUGUUACACUGCGAUAUCAUAACUAAUAUAAAAGCACCAACAAGAGGAGACAAGUCGUAACAAGGUAAGUAUACCGGAAGGUGUACUUGGACAAACUUA
This 952-nucleotide non-coding RNA is filed under the name Esomus metallicus (striped flying barb). Its description in RNAcentral is "12S ribosomal RNA". It matches the Rfam family "Bacterial small subunit ribosomal RNA". The record is from RNAcentral. Lineage: Eukaryota; Metazoa; Chordata; Actinopteri; Cypriniformes; Danionidae.